This 555-nucleotide non-coding RNA is filed under the name Pongo abelii (Sumatran orangutan). The record is from RNAcentral. Lineage: Eukaryota; Metazoa; Chordata; Mammalia; Primates; Hominidae.
UUCCUCCCUUUAAUUUGAAACGGGAACGCGAAUAACUAAAAUAGGAAGACACUUAAAGAUGAAGUGCUUAAUUCAAGGUCACAGAAUGUCGGGGAUGGACCUCCAGAUUUCCUUACUGACCUGCAUUAUCUUGUGGAUACCUGAGUGAAUUCCACACCACCCAUUUUAUAGAUGAAGCCACUGAGACGUGGAGCAACUGACUGAGUAGUCACUGCCCCACCCCUGCCUGGAGCCUCACACAUGACUUCUCUUAGUGACCACAGGUUGGUUGAGGGGUUUAACAAGGCUAAGAAGGUGAGACGUGGUCUUGUAACACAGUGGUUAAGAAUGUGACUUUGGAGCCAGCCUGCUAGGGGCUGAAUUCUGACUCAGCCAUUUAUUAACUGUGUGACCUUAGAUGGAGUCUCACUCUGUAGCCCAAGCUGGAGUGGCGUGAUCUCGACUCACUGCAACCUCCGCCUCCUGGGCUCAAGUGAUUCUCGUGCCUCAGCCUCCUGAGUAGCUGGGACUACAGUUGUCCCUUCACGUGGGAUUGCUUCCAGUACCUCUGUGUAU